RNAcentral lists this small RNA (132 nucleotides) under Escherichia coli. RNAcentral describes it as "RtT sRNA". It matches the Rfam family "RtT RNA". From Rfam's summary of the family: This family represents a bacterial cis-regulatory element known as RtT RNA. The exact function of RtT is unknown although it is thought that it may be involved in changing the cellular response in relation to amino acid starvation. The record is from RNAcentral. Lineage: Bacteria; Pseudomonadati; Pseudomonadota; Gammaproteobacteria; Enterobacterales; Enterobacteriaceae.
GUUUGCACUCAUCGGGGAAGGGUGAGAACCUUCGACUAAGGUUCGACUCGAGCGCCAGCGAGAGAGCGUUGCCGCAGGCAACGACCCGAAGGGCGAAGCGCGCAGCGCUGAGUAAUCCUUCCCCCACCACCA